Molecule: ribosomal RNA, 506 nt
Filed under: uncultured bacterium
Lineage: Bacteria
Description: bacterial SSU rRNA
Rfam family: Bacterial small subunit ribosomal RNA
Source: RNAcentral
GAUUCUGGCUCAGGAUGAACGCUAGCUACAGGCUUAACACAUGCAAGUCGAGGGGUAGCAGGGUAGCAAUACCGCUGACGACCGGCGCACGGGUGAGUAACACGUAUCCAACCUUCCCAUAACUCAGGGAUAGCCUUUCGAAAGAAAGAUUAAUACCUGAUAGUACUUUUUCAAGGCAUCUUGAGAAAGUUAAAGAUUUAUUGGUUAUGGAUGGGGAUGCGUUCCAUUAGAUAGUUGGUGAGGUAACGGCUCACCAAGUCUUCGAUGGAUAGGGGUUCUGAGAGGAAGGUCCCCCACAUUGGUACUGAGACACGGACCAAACUCCUACGGGAGGCAGCAGUGAGGAAUAUUGGUCAAUGGGCGAGAGCCUGAACCAGCCAAGUAGCGUGAAGGAUGAAGGUCCUAUGGAUUGUAAACUUCUUUUAUAGUAGAAUAAAGUGAUCCACGUGUGGAUUUUUGUAUGUAUACUAUGAAUAAGGAUCGGCUAACUCCGUGCCAGCAGCGGC